Molecule: ribosomal RNA, 439 nt
Filed under: uncultured bacterium
Lineage: Bacteria
Description: partial 16S ribosomal RNA
Rfam family: Bacterial small subunit ribosomal RNA
Source: RNAcentral
CUACGGGUGGCUCCAGUGGGGAAUAUUGCACAAUGGAGGAAACUCUGAUGCAGCAACGCCGCGUGGAGGAUGACACUUUUCGGAGCGUAAACUCCUUUUAUAUAGGAAGAUAAUGACGGUACUAUAUGAAUAAGCACCGGCUAACUCCGUGCCAGCAGCCGCGGUAAUACGGAGGGUGCAAGCGUUACUCGGAAUCACUGGGCGUAAAGAGCGUGUAGGCGGGUUAAUAAGUCAGAAGUGAAAUCCUAUGGCUCAACCAUAGAACUGCUUUUGAGACUGUUAACCUAGAGUGUGGGAGAGGUAGAUGGAAUUUCUGGUGUAGGGGUAAAAUCCGUAGAGAUCAGAAGGAAUACCGAUUGCGAAGGCGAUCUACUGGAACAUAACUGACGCUGAGACGCGAAAGCGUGGGGAGCAAACAGGAUUAGAUACCCGGGUAGUC